Molecule: ribosomal RNA, 253 nt
Filed under: uncultured bacterium
Lineage: Bacteria
Description: partial 16S ribosomal RNA
Rfam family: Bacterial small subunit ribosomal RNA
Source: RNAcentral
GAUCCUGGCUCAGAUUGAACGCUGGCGGCAUGCUUUACACAUGCAAGUCGAACGGCAGCGGGGUAGUGCUUGCACUACUGUCCGGCGAGUGGCGAACGGGUGAGUAAUAUAUCGGAACGUACCGAGUAAUGGGGGAUAACCAAUCGAAAGAUUGGCUAAUACCGCAUACGUCCUACGGGAGAAAGCGGGGGAUCGCAAGACCUCGCGUUAUUCGAGCGGCCGAUAACUGAUUAGCUAGUUGGUGGGGUAAAGG